UAUCCCGAACACUGGGCUUCUUAAAAAAUAUUACCCCAAAUCAUGCAAUUGGAUUUAUAGUAUUAUAACACUCUUUUAUUUGUAGUUUUGUUAUCAUCACUGGUUUGAAACCCUUUCUAUUGUCAUCAAACGUAAGGUGCCACUCAUUAACUUCUUUUACCCCCAUGCUUGAUAUCUCGUUGGUGAAAAAGGAUCACGGUCUUGUCUUCCAUUCCCUUCCUCUCUCAUGAUUCCCGUUGCAGCGAUUGCUCCCGGCGGCUCGGCGGCAAUGGAGGCGCCACCUGACCCAGCCGUCCCAUCCUGCUCGAUGAGAUCGUCGCCGACAUCCACGCUUGGUGCAAUGCCAUCUUCCUUUUAGCAACUUGUGGAUCCUGUGCAAUCUACAGCAGAAGUUGUUUCUACUUUGUUCGCACCUAGAAUUGAAAGGAGAGGUGUGAAGAAGCUUACUCUGAAGAAAAAGAUAUAAGUGAUGUAUUAUGGCACUUGUAGAACUGUGAGUUGUUCAAUGGUGUUAUCAUAGUAUUAUGGCACUUUAAUAUCUGCAAUUUGUAGAACUGGAUUCUGUAAAAUGUGAACUGGUUUCCUAGUAAGUUCAUGUUAACUAUUA
This is a long non-coding RNA of Zea mays, 607 nucleotides long. RefSeq lists it as uncharacterized. The record is from RefSeq and is a predicted model, not a curated record. The transcript is spliced from 2 exons. NCBI's taxonomy places the organism in Eukaryota, Viridiplantae, Streptophyta, Magnoliopsida, Poales, Poaceae.